UUAUGUUUUGUUACUAGAAGAUUUCAUGGUAAAUAUGUUUUGUUUACUAGAAGAUUCUUGUCCUGAUUAUAUGCUCAACAUAUUAUUCCUUAAUGGUGAUAGCUAUAACUUGGUUUCUUCAUCUACAAUAUCAUAUGACUUCUAUUUAAUAUUGCGGUUUUCAUUACAUAACUAAGGAGUGUUUGCAGGUACUUGUUGGAAUUGUUUUGCUGCAGGUACUAGGUACUUUUUGGUUUAUUUGGUCAAAGAGCCUUCUUGUUUGGAGUGUCUCCACCACAUGAUACAAUAAUGGAUAAACUUUCUGUUGGAUGAAAGGAAGCUAGGAGGUGUUGGAGUCUCUUAUAGAGUUACAAAGUGUAUUAGAAUGAAAAAAAAUAAGCUGGAGUCUCUUAUAAAGUUACCUAGUGUAUUAGAAUGAAAAAANN
Molecule: long non-coding RNA, 425 nt
Filed under: Trifolium pratense (red clover)
Lineage: Eukaryota; Viridiplantae; Streptophyta; Magnoliopsida; Fabales; Fabaceae
Description: long non-coding RNA (TPRA_LNC013560)
Source: RNAcentral